Molecule: ribosomal RNA, 253 nt
Filed under: uncultured bacterium
Lineage: Bacteria
Description: partial 16S ribosomal RNA
Rfam family: Bacterial small subunit ribosomal RNA
Source: RNAcentral
UACGUGGGGUGCAAGCGUUGUCCGGAUUUAUUGGGCGUAAAGAGCUCGUAGGCGGCUUAGAAAGUCAGGUGUGAAACCUCCAGCUCAACCUGGAGACGCCACUUGAUACUUCUAUGGCUUGAGUUCGGUAGGGGACCAUGGAAUUCCUGGUGUAGCGGUGAAAUGCGCAGAUAUCAGGAGGAACACCGAUGGCGAAGGCAGUGGUCUGGGCCGAUACUGACGCUGAGGAGCGAAAGCGUGGGGAGCGAACAGG